This 2651-nucleotide unclassified non-coding RNA is filed under the name Apis dorsata (giant honeybee). Its description in RNAcentral is "uncharacterized LOC102676026, transcript variant X5". Lineage: Eukaryota; Metazoa; Arthropoda; Insecta; Hymenoptera; Apidae. The record is from RNAcentral.
CCUUAGCCAAUCAGAAAGUUGCUAUAAAAAUUUUGGUGCGUGGCGUCAGUUUCCUGUGGAAAGUCAUCGUGAGAGGAUGUGUAAUUGUAACCGGCUUCGACGAUUUUACUACGCAAUAAAAACAUUAUUAUCUGAUUACUGGUUCAGAUUUAAAAAUGAGAAAAGUUUCAAUAUGGACGCCAUCAUAUCUUUUCAACGAGAAGUUUUGCUUGUCCACUAAAGUGAUAAAAGUUCAAAAUAUGAAUGGACUGAAAUGACAAUAGAAUAAUAUUCGUGCCGAAAUUGUGAAAUCUGUUGCAUCAAUUUGUAGAAUACAUAGACAGGCAGAAAAGGAAAUGGCAAAUAAAUAAGCUGAAAUAUAAAACGAUAAUUAAUAAAAUGAACGAAGAUUGUGAUUGAUUGGAAUUCAAUCGUGAAAGAGAAAAAUUUGAAAGAGGACAAUGAAGAGUCGUCGUGGUGAGGGUGUUUGAGGGAAAAAAUUUUCGAAGCGGAAAGCACGAUGCCACCACGCUCGCGACCGGAAACAUUCGAACUGAUGGUCGAAGCCGAGAAGCCAUCCAAGUGUAUCAGAUUUCUACGUUUUCUACGUUUCCUGUGGAAGUUCUUCAGAUGCGUUUUUUCCCACGUAUCGUUGAUCUCAUUGGUUGUACUAUAUUGCUUGAUCGGCGCAUACGCUUUUGAAGCUCUUGAAGCCGCUCACGAAAAAGAGAUCAAGAAAAGCAUUAAACAUGUCAGAGAGAACGUUGCAGAACAACUAUGGAAGAUUACGAAAGAAGUGGAAGUUCUGAUUCGUGAAAAUUGGACGGACAGAGCACUGCGCGAAUUAAAGAGCUUCGAGAAUAACCUCGUGUGGAUGAUGGAGAAAGAAGGUUGGGAUGGGAGUGAAGGUGAAGAUGACAUCCAAUGGACAUUUGCUGGUGCUUUAUUUUAUUCCAUAGUGGUCAUCACCACCAUUGGGUAUGGUCACAUUGCACCGAAGACUAAGAACGGGAAAGUGGUAACCAUAUUCUAUGCCAUCGUUGGAAUUCCUCUCAUGCUACUCUGCCUCUCGAAUAUAGGCGAUAUUAUGGCCUCGAGUUUCAGAUUUUUAUACUGGAGGGUUUGCUGCUACAUAUGCACCAAACCACCAAAAAAAAGACGACCAAGAAGCCAUUUUGUUAGAUCGUAUUCCAUGCGACAACCAGGACGAUAUGGUGGAAGCAAAGGUGGUUUUCGAAGACCCAUCAGGGUAAGCCAGAUGUCAGUAGAUUCGGUUUUGUCUGAAAGUCUAGGAAGAUCAUCGUAUUUUGACAUGGAUUAUAAAUAUAAUCCUCGUCGAUACGAGGCUGGAGAAGAGAGAAGGACGAGUUCUUCUUAUCAAUUAUCUGGAAAUCCAAAUUUUGGAUUUAAAUCGGCAACAGUAUCCAGAUACUCUGAUUUUCCAAUAACGAAAUUGAACAAAGNCAGUUCCAAGAUGACAACGCAAUCAUUAGACAGGAAAUUGUUGAUGCGUUCAUCACAUGACAUUGAUCGUUCCUCGGUUUUAUGUAAUAAAUACGCCUUGGAUAAUUUGGAGAACGAAUUGCGACGGUGGCCAACUUCCGCCGGAAACACAAGUAACUAUGAUACGAGCAAAUCAAAAGAGGAGCCAGAGGCGACAGAAACUCGUGAAAAUAGUGAGAAACAAGAGCCAUUAAUGACGAGGUCGUUGCCCAGAAGAUGCUUAUCGAUGGAUGCUGCGACUAGUAACUACAGAAUGAGUCUGCCAUCCUCUUUACGGCCAUCAUCUAUUUAUUUGGAUUUAGAGAACUCGAGAAAGACUCAAAUUCCAAAAACCAGACGUUAUAGAAACAACUACCCUAUUGCUCGAUCGUACAGAAGGGACACAUUGCCAUCCGAUAUAAUGUCCUCAGCUGGAUUUCCUGUACAUAGACAAGUAUACGUAGACGAUUUUGAUUCGGAUUACGAAUAUUAUACUAACGAUGAUCAGGAAAGGCAGCAAAUAAAACCAGUACCAAUAUGGUUAUGCGUUUUCCUGGUGGUUAGUUACAUUUUUGGUGGCGCCUUCUUGUUUAGCGCUUGGGAACAUUGGCCAUUCCUCGAUUCUGCAUAUUUUUGCUUUAUUACACUUACCACUAUAGUAAUAUUAAUUUGGAAAUCUUAGAAAAUGUUAUGAAAUUUAAUAAAUUUUGAAGUUCCAUUAUCUCUAUUUAUUUUUGCAGAUUCGGCGACUUCGUACCAGCAUACAAACUGGACGCCCAUAAAGGAAUUGCGGUUUGCUCGUUGUACUUGUUAUUUGGAAUUGCUUUGCUGGCGAUGAGCUUUAAUCUGGUGCAAGAGGAGGUCAUCAACAACGUGAAGAACGUCGCAAAGAGGCUCGGGAUCAUCAAAGAGAGUGACGACGAGGAAGAUGCCGACGACUACGACGCAUACGACGUCGAAUACAACGAUGAGGUUGACAACGAACUCGAGGGUUACAUUCUCGAUACCCCUCGAUCUCACUCGAUGGCUAGAAACGUUCGCGGAAUUUCCGUCGUGUAACCAACUCUGACCGAAUUUCUUUUCAUUCACCGAUCCAAUUCUGUUUCCUUUUUUUUUCGCUAAUCCUUCUCUUUUCUUUUUUCUUUCUUUUAUUUUUUUUUCUUAUUUCUUUUCUUUUAUUUUCAUUAAUA